ACACCGGCAGCUCAAGUGGUGGCCAUUUUUAUUGGGCCUAAAGCGUUCGUAGCCGGCCCUUGAUAAGUCUCUGGUGAAAUCCCAUAGCUUAACUGUGGGAAUUGCUGGAGAUACUAUUAGGCUUGAGGCCGGGAGAGGUUAGGGGUACUCCCAGGGUAGGGGUGAAAUCCUAUAAUCCUGGGGGACCACCUGUGGCGAAGGCGCCUAACUGGAACGGACCUGACGGUGAGUAACGAAAGCCAGGGGCGC
This 249-nucleotide ribosomal RNA is filed under the name uncultured bacterium. RNAcentral describes it as "partial 16S ribosomal RNA". It matches the Rfam family "Archaeal small subunit ribosomal RNA", at positions 473 to 720 of the family's 1478-position model. The record is from RNAcentral.